AACAAGGCGUACCUGCGGACCUGCGGAAGGAUCAUUAAAAAGAGUGUGUACCCCUCUGUAAAAUGAGUGGGUUACCUCCCGUCCUCUGUUGACCUCUUAGGAGGUUAUUUUGAACUUUCUGCUUCGGUGGGGUUAAACCUACCGGAACACCCUCAAAUUCUUAUCAUUUAAAAAUUGUUCAGUCUGAUUUUUGUUAAUAAAAACAAAAAACUUUUAACAACGGAUCUCAGAUCGGAAGAG
RNAcentral lists this unclassified non-coding RNA (240 nucleotides) under soil metagenome. RNAcentral's name for it is "partial contains 5.8S ribosomal RNA, internal transcribed spacer 2, and large subunit ribosomal RNA". The record is from RNAcentral.